GUAGCUACACAUGCAGCCGAGCGGUAGAGAUUCUUCGGGAUCUUGAGAGCGGCGUACGGGUGCGUAACACGUGUGCAACCUGCCUUUAUCUAGGGGAUAGCCUUUCGAAAGGAAGAUUAAUACCCUAUAAUAUAUUGAUUGGCAUCAAUUGAUAUUGAAAACUCCGGUGGAUAGAGAUGGGCACGCGCAAGAUUGGAUAGUUGGUGAGGUAACGGCUCACCAAGUCGAUGAUCUUUAGGGGGCCUGAGAGGGUGAUCCCCCACACUGGUACUGAGACACGGACCAGACUCCUACGGGAGGCAGCAGUGAGGAAUAUUGGACAAUGGGUGAGAGCCUGAUCCAGCCAUCCCGCGUGAAGGACGACGGUUCUAUGGAUUGUAAACUUCUUUUGUACAGGGAUGAACCUACCCUCGUGAGGGUAGCUGAAGGUACUGUACGAAUAAGCACCGGCUAACUCCGUGCCAGCAGCCGCGGUAAUACGGAGGGUGCAAGCGUUAUCCGGAUUUAUUGGGUUUAAAGGGUCCGUAGGCGGACUUAUAAGUCAGUGGUGAAAGCCGGCAGCUUAACUGUCGAACUGCCAUUGAUACUGUAGGUCUUGAGUGUAUUUGAAGUGGCUGGAAUAAGUAGUGUAGCGGUGAAAUGCAUAGAUAUUACUUAGAACACCAAUUGCGAAAGGCAGGUCACUAAGAUACAACUGACGCUGAUGGACGAAAGCGUGGGGAGCGAACAGGAUUAGAUACCCUGGUAGUCCACGCUGUAAACGAUGCUAACUCGUUUUUGGGUUUUUAAGACUCAGAGACCAAGCGAAAGUGAUAAGUUAGCCACCUGGGGGAGUACGUCGCAGAUGAAA
RNAcentral lists this ribosomal RNA (850 nucleotides) under uncultured bacterium. RNAcentral describes it as "bacterial SSU rRNA". It matches the Rfam family "Bacterial small subunit ribosomal RNA", at positions 43 to 899 of the family's 1533-position model. The record is from RNAcentral.